RNAcentral lists this transfer RNA (71 nucleotides) under Escherichia coli. RNAcentral describes it as "tRNA-Ile". The stretch from base 5 to 65 matches the Rfam family "tRNA", at positions 7 to 64 of the family's 71-position model. Rfam says of the family: Transfer RNA (tRNA) molecules are approximately 80 nucleotides in length. Their secondary structure includes four short double-helical elements and three loops (D, anti-codon, and T loops). The record is from RNAcentral. Lineage: Bacteria; Pseudomonadati; Pseudomonadota; Gammaproteobacteria; Enterobacterales; Enterobacteriaceae.
GCUUGUAGCUCAGGUGGUUAGAGCGCACCCCUGAUAAGGGUGAGGUCGGUGGUUCAAGUCCACUCCACGCU